UUAAGCAAAGAAGAGCGCAGGGUGGAUGCCUUGGCACUAAGAGCCGAAGAAAGACGUGAUAAGCUGCGAAAAGCUGCGGGGAGAUGCAAAUAAUCCUUGAUCCGCAGAUGUCUGAAUGGGGAAACCCGGUACGAAGAACUCGUAUCAUCCAUACGCCAAUCCAUAACGUAUGGAGGGGAACCCGGUGAACUGAAACAUCUAAGUAGCCGGAGGAAGAGAAAGAAACAUCGAUUUUGUUAGUAGCGGCGAGCGAAAGCGAAAGAGGCCAAACCGGAGUGCGUGCACUCCGGGGUUCGGACCGCAUUUAAGAUUCAGUGAUUCUAGCAGAAAGGUUUGGGAAAGCCUGCCGGAGAGGGUGAAAGCCCCGUAAGCGAAAGGAGAACUGACUGAGCGGAAUCCAGAGUACAUCGAGACACGAGAAACCUUGAUGGAAUGAGCGGGGACCACCCCGUAAGCCUAAAUACUCCUUAGUGACCGAUAGCGCAUAGUACUGUGAAGGAAAGGUGAAAAGGACCCCGGGAGGGGAGUGAAAGAGAACCUGAAACCCUGUGUUUACAAGCUGUGGAAGUUCUUUAAAUGAACAACCGCGUACUUUUUGUAGAACGGUCCGGCGAGUUACGCGUGCCGGCAAGGUUAAGCACUUAAGGUGUGGAGCCGAAGAGAAAUCGAGUCUGAACAGGGCGUUCAGUCAGCACGCGUAGACCCGAAACCGGGUGAUCUACCCAUGUCCAGGUUGAAGUUGCCGUAAAAGGCAAUGGAGGACCGAACGCACAUCCGUUGAAAAGGGUGGCGAUGAGGUGUGGGUAGGGGAGAAAUUCCAAUCGAACCCGGAGAUAGCUGGUUCUCCUCGAAAUAGCUUUAGGGCUAGCCUCAUUUUAGUCUUAUGGAGGUAGAGCACUGAAUUUCCGCGGGGGCGUCAAAGCUUACCAAAGAAUAUCAAACUCCGAAUGCCAUGUAGAUGAUGAUCGGGAGUCAGACUGCACGAGAUAAGUUGGGCAGUCAAAAGGGAAAGAGCCCAGACCACCGGCUAAGGUCCCAAAGUGCGUGUUAAGUGGAAAAGGAUGUGGGAUUUCGAAGACAACUAGGAUGUUGGCUCAGAAGCAGCCACACAUUCAAAGAGUGCGUAAUAGCUCACUAGUCGAGAGGUCCUGCGCCGAAAAUGUCCGGGGCUAAAACACACUGCCGAAGCUUUGGAAUUGAAUUAAUUCAAUUGGUAGAGGAGCAUUCUUAAAGGGACGAAGCAGUACCGUAAGGAGCUGUGGACUUUUAAGAAGAGAGAAUGCCGGAAUGAGUAGCGAGAGGAAGGUGGGAAUCCUUCCGGCCGAAUAUCUAAGGUUUCCAGAGUAAAGCUGAUCUGCUCUGGGUAAGUCGGGGCCUAAGGAGAGGUCGAAAGACGUAUCCGAUGGACAACAGGUUUAGAUUCCUGUACCACAUAUAAACAGAACUGUGGGGACGCAUGUGGAAAGCAUAAGCCGGGAAUGGAAAUACCGGUACAAACGGAAGAGGUGUCAGGCUGGCAAAUCCGCCUGGCAAGCCAAAGACGUGAUGUGGAGCGAAAUAAAAGUAGCGAAGUAUGUGAGCCAUGUGCCGAGAAAAGCCGCUAUUGUUUUAUAUGUGCCCGUACCGUAAACCGACACAGGUGGAUGAGGAGAGAAUCCUAAGGCCGGCGGAAGAAGCAUUGUUAAGGAACUCGGCAAAAUGACCCCGUAACUUCGGGAGAAGGGGUGCCCACUUCAGGGUGGGCCGCAGAGAAUAGGCUCAAGCAACUGUUUAGCAAAAACACAGGUCUAUGCGAAACCGAAAGGUGAAGUAUAUGGGCUGACGCCUGCCCGGUGCUGGAAGGUUAAGAGGAGAGGUUAGCGCAAGCGAAGCUUUGAAUUUAAGCCCCAGUAAACGGCGGCCGUAACUAUAACGGUCCUAAGGUAGCGAAAUUCCUUGUCGGGUAAGUUCCGACC
This 1955-nucleotide ribosomal RNA is filed under the name human gut metagenome. Its description in RNAcentral is "bacterial LSU rRNA". It matches the Rfam family "Bacterial large subunit ribosomal RNA", at positions 3 to 1988 of the family's 2925-position model. The record is from RNAcentral.